Molecule: ribosomal RNA, 1380 nt
Filed under: uncultured bacterium
Lineage: Bacteria
Description: 16S ribosomal RNA
Rfam family: Bacterial small subunit ribosomal RNA
Source: RNAcentral
UUCGCCCUUAGAGUUUGAUCCUGGCUCAGGACGAACGCUGGCGGCACGCUUAACACAUGCAAGUCGAACGAGAGAAGAGAAGCUUGCUUUUCUGAUCUAGUGGCGGACGGGUGAGUAACACGUGAGCAAUCUGCCUUUCAGAGGGGGAUACCGAUUGGAAACGAUCGUUAAUACCGCAUAAUAUAAUUGAACCGCAUGAUUUGAUUAUCAAAGAUUUAUCGCUGAAAGAUGAGCUCGCGUCUGAUUAGCUAGUUGGUAAGGUAACGGCUUACCAAGGCGACGAUCAGUAGCCGGACUGAGAGGUUGAUCGGCCACAUUGGGACUGAGACACGGCCCAGACUCCUACGGGAGGCAGCAGUGGGGAAUAUUGCACAAUGGAGGAAACUCUGAUGCAGCGAUGCCGCGUGAGGGAAGAAGGUUUUAGGAUUGUAAACCUCUGUCUUCAGGGACGAAAAAAGACGGUACCUGAGGAGGAAGCUCCGGCUAACUACGUGCCAGCAGCCGCGGUAAUACGUAGGGAGCGAGCGUUGUCCGGAAUUACUGGGUGUAAAGGGAGCGUAGGCGGGAUCGCAAGUCAGAUGUGAAAACUAUGGGCUUAACCCAUAAACUGCAUUUGAAACUGUGGUUCUUGAGUGAAGUAGAGGUAAGCGGAAUUCCUAGUGUAGUGGUGAAAUGCGCAGAUAUUAGGAGGAACAUCAGUGGCGAAGGCGGCUUACUGGGCUUUAACUGACGCUGAGGCUCGAAAGCGUGGGGAGCAAACAGGAUUAGAUACCCUGGUAGUCCACGCCGUAAACGAUGAUUACUAGGUGUGGGGGGACUGACCCCUUCCGUGCCGCAGCAAACGCAAUAAGUAAUCCACCUGGGGAGUACGACCGCAAGGUUGAAACUCAAAGGAAUUGACGGGGGCCCGCACAAGCAGUGGAGUAUGUGGAUUAAUUCGAAGCAACGCGAAGAACCUUACCAGGUCUUGACAUCGUAUGCAUAGCUCAGAGAUGAGUGAAAUCUCUUCGGAGACAUAUAGACAGGUGGUGCAUGGUUGUCGUCAGCUCGUGUCGUGAGAUGUUGGGUUAAGUCCCGCAACGAGCGCAACCCUUACUGUUAGUUGCUACGCAAGAGCACUCUAGCAGGACUGCCGUUGACAAAACGGAGGAAGGUGGGGAUGACGUCAAAUCAUCAUGCCCCUUAUGACCUGGGCCUCACACGUACUACAAUGGCUGUUAACAGAGGGAUGCAAAGCCGCGAGGUGGAGCGAACCCCUAAAAGCAGUCUUAGUUCGGAUUGUAGGCUGCAACCCGCCUACAUGAAGUCGGAAUUGCUAGUAAUCGCAGAUCAGCAUGCUGCGGUGAAUACGUUCCCGGGCCUUGCACUCACCGCCCGUCA